AACGAACGCUGGCGGCAUGCCUAACACAUGCAAGUCGAACGAGACCUUCGGGUCUAGUGGCGCACGGGUGCGUAACGCGUGGGAACCUGCCCUUAGGUUCGGAAGAACUCCCCGAAAGGGGUGCUAAUACCGGAUAAUGUCUUCGGACCAUAGAUUUAUCGCCUUUGGAUGGGCCCGCGUUGGAUUAGCUAGUUGGUAGGGUAAAAGCCUACAAAGGCGACGAUCCAUAGCUGGUCUGAGAGGAUGAGCAGCCACACUGGAACUGAGACACGGCCCAGACUCAUACGGGAGGCAGCAGUGGGGAAUAUUAGACAAUGGGCGAAAGCCUAAUCCAGCAAUGCCUCGUGAGUGAUGAAGGCCUUAGGGUUGUAAAGCUCUUUUAACCGGGAGGAUAAUGACAGUACCGGGAGAAUAAGCCCCGGCUAACUCCGGG
Molecule: ribosomal RNA, 433 nt
Filed under: uncultured bacterium
Lineage: Bacteria
Description: partial 16S ribosomal RNA
Rfam family: Bacterial small subunit ribosomal RNA
Source: RNAcentral